This 465-nucleotide ribosomal RNA is filed under the name uncultured bacterium. RNAcentral describes it as "partial 16S ribosomal RNA". It matches the Rfam family "Bacterial small subunit ribosomal RNA", at positions 28 to 507 of the family's 1533-position model. The record is from RNAcentral.
GACGAACGCUGGCGGCGUGCUUAACACAUGCAAGUCGAACGGAAAGGCCCUGCUUGCAGGGUACUCGAGUGGCGAACGGGUGAGUAACACGUGGGUGAUCUGCCCUGCACUUCGGGAUAAGCCUGGGAAACUGGGUCUAAUACCUGAUAGGAGCCAUUUUUAGUGUGAUGGUUGGAAAGUUUUUUCGGUGUAGGAUGAGCUCGCGGCCUAUCAGCUUGUUGGUGGGGUAAUGGCCUACCAAGGCGGCGACGGGUAGCCGGCCUGAGAGGGUGGACGGCCACAUUGGGACUGAGAUACGGCCCAGACUCCUACGGGAGGCAGCAGUGGGGAAUAUUGCACAAUGGGCGCAAGCCUGAUGCAGCGACGCCGCGUGGGGGAGGACGGCCUUCGGGUUGUAAACUCCUUUCGCUAGGGACGAAGCUUUUUGUGACGGUACCUAGAGAAGAAGCACCGGCUAACUACGUG